GCAGUCGCCGCGGUAAAACGGAGGGCGCGAGCGUUACCCGGAUUUACUGGGCGUAAAGGGCGUGUAGGCGGCCUGGGGCGUCCCAUGUGAAAGGCCACGGCUCAACCGUGGAGGAGCGUGGGAUACGCUCAGGCUAGAGGGUGGGAGAGGGUGGUGGAAUUCCCGGAGUAGCGGUGAAAUGCGCAGAUACCGGGAGGAACGCCGAUGGCGAAGGCAGCCACCUGGUCCACUUCUGACGCUGAGGCGCGAAAGCGUGGGGAGCAAACCGGAUUAGAUACCCGUGUAGUCCCUGUCUCUUAUAU
RNAcentral lists this ribosomal RNA (302 nucleotides) under uncultured bacterium. RNAcentral describes it as "partial 16S ribosomal RNA". It matches the Rfam family "Bacterial small subunit ribosomal RNA", at positions 508 to 809 of the family's 1533-position model. The record is from RNAcentral.